GACACCACCAUCUCUAAACAGACCACAAACACACAGCCGCAGCUCCUCGCUCACACACACGCACACACUGCAUCAACACACACACACACACACACACUGCAUCAACACACACACACACACACACUGCAUCAACACACGCACACACACUGCAUCAACACACACACACACACACACUGCAUCAACACACACACACACACUGCAUCAACACACACACACACACACACACACACACACACACACACACUGCAUCAACACACACACACACACACACUGCAUCAACACACACACACACUGCAUCAACACACACACACACACACACACUGCAUCAACACACGGACACACACACACUGCAUCAACACACACACACACACACACACACUGCAUCAACACACACACACACACACUGCAUCAACACACACACACACACACACACACACUGCAUCAACACACACACACACACACACACACACACACACACACACACACACACACACACACACACACACACACACACACACACACACACUGCAUCAACACACACACACACACACUGCAUCAACACACACACACACACUGCAUCAACACACACACACACACUGCAUCAACACACACACACACUGCAUCAACACACACACACACACACACACACUGCAUCAACACACACACACACACACACUGCAUCAACACACACACACACACACACACACACACACUGCAUCAACACACACACACACUGCAUCAACACACACACACACACUGCAUCAACACACACACACACUGCAUCAACACACACACACACACACACACACUGCAUCAACACACACACACGCACACACACUGCAUCAACACACACACACUGCAUCAACACACACACACACACACACACACACUGCAUCAACACACACACACACACUGCAUCAACACACACACACACACUGCAUCAACACACACACACACACACACUGCAUCAACACACACACACACACACUGCAUCAACACACACACACACACACACUGCAUCAACACACACACACGCACACACACUGCAUCAACACACACACACUGCAUCAACACACACACACACUGCAUCAACACACACACACACUGCAUCAACACACACACACACACACAAAGAUGAUAGAAGAUGCCUCUUUCUCUCCUCCUAACCUAAAAAUACCUAGUCUUAAAGUAACACUUUAA
Molecule: long non-coding RNA, 1200 nt
Filed under: Oncorhynchus kisutch (coho salmon)
Lineage: Eukaryota; Metazoa; Chordata; Actinopteri; Salmoniformes; Salmonidae
Description: lncRNA (ENSOKIG00005015261.1)
Source: RNAcentral